Molecule: ribosomal RNA, 495 nt
Filed under: uncultured bacterium
Lineage: Bacteria
Description: partial 16S ribosomal RNA
Rfam family: Bacterial small subunit ribosomal RNA
Source: RNAcentral
AUUGAACGCUGGCGGCAUGCUUUACACAUGCAAGUCGAACGGUAGAGGGGGCAACCCCUUGAGAGUGGCGAACGGGUGAGUAAUGCAUCGGAACGUGCCCAGUCGUGGGGGAUAGCCCGGGGAAACCCGGAUUAAUACCGCAUACGACCUGAGGGUGAAAGCGGGGGACCGAAAGGCCUCGCGCGAUUGGAGCGGCCGAUGUCGGAUUAGGUAGUUGGUGGGGUAAAGGCCUACCAAGCCUGCGAUCCGUAGCUGGUCUGAGAGGACGACCAGCCACACUGGGACUGAGACACGGCCAGACUCCUACGGGAGGCAGCAGUGGGGAAUUUUGGACAAUGGGCGAAAGCCUGAUCCAGCCAUUCCGCGUGCAGGAUGAAGGCCCUCGGGUUGUAAACUGCUUUUGUACAGAACGAAAAGGUUUCUACUAAUACUAGGAGCUCAUGACGGUACUGUAAGAAUAAGCACCGGCUAACUACGUGCCAGCCGCCGCGGUAA